Nemania sp. FL0916 is the source of this 114-nucleotide non-coding RNA. NCBI's taxonomy places the organism in Eukaryota, Fungi, Ascomycota, Sordariomycetes, Xylariales, Xylariaceae. The record is from the annotation of a GenBank genome assembly.
GGCAACGUGGCUGAGUGGUUAAAGCGUAUGACUAGAAUUCUAGAAUCUUUCCGGAGCUAGGAACUAAGAAAUCAUAUCCCUUCGGGGUCGUAGGUUCAAAUCCUGCCGUUGUCG